This 252-nucleotide ribosomal RNA is filed under the name uncultured bacterium. RNAcentral describes it as "partial 16S ribosomal RNA". It matches the Rfam family "Bacterial small subunit ribosomal RNA", at positions 524 to 776 of the family's 1533-position model. The record is from RNAcentral.
UACGUAGGUGGCAAGCGUUAUCCGGAAUUAUUGGGCGUAAAGGGUGCGUAGGCGGUUUAGUAAGUCUAAUGUGAAAUUUCAGGGCUCAACUCUGAACUGCAUUAGAAACUAUUAGACUAGAGUGCAGGAGAGGGCAACGGAAUUCCAUGUGUAGCGGUAAAAUGCGUAGAUAUAUGGAGGAACACCGGUGGCGAAGGCGGUUGCCUGGCCUGUUACUGACGCUGAAGCACGAAAGCGUGGGGAGCAAAUAGG